This 168-nucleotide ribosomal RNA is filed under the name uncultured soil bacterium. RNAcentral describes it as "partial 16S ribosomal RNA". It matches the Rfam family "Bacterial small subunit ribosomal RNA", at positions 26 to 197 of the family's 1533-position model. The record is from RNAcentral.
AGAACGAACGCUGGCGGCGUGCCUAACACAUGCAAGUCGAGCGCGAAUGGAGCAAUCCUAGUAGAGCGGCGCACGGGUGCGUAACACGUGGGUAAUCUGCCUGGGAGAUCGGGAUAACCUGCCGAAGGCAAGCUAAUACCGGAUAAGCCUACGAGAUCUUCGGAUCUU